AAGUCGUAACAAGGUUUCCGUAGGUGAACCUGCGGAAGGAUCAUUAAAGAGAUGGGGGUGGAUAUGAUUGUCAUAUUCACUCACAGUAUUCAUCCUUGUGUUAUGUAUAUUGUUGAUUGUGUGUACCAUAAACAAGUACACACCUUCAUUUUUAUCAACCAUUCAUCAAAUCCAAUUCUUAUUCCUAUUGCCUGUAAAAAGGCACAAACAAUCGAAAACUGCCAGCAAUGGAUCACUCGGUUCUCGCAUCGAUGAAGAGCGUAGCGAAUUGCGAAAAGUAAUGUGAUUUGCAACAUUCGUGAAUCAUUGAAUUCUUGAACGCACAUUGCACCGUGUGGGUUACUGCACGGUCUGCCUGUCUGAGUAUUGACUAGAACUCUUAUCAGCCUUGUGCUGGAUGAUGGAUGUUUCACCGUUUGGUGACAUCUGCAACACAAUCUACACUAUGCACAUUAAUGGAGUUGUGCGUAUGAUCUCGAGGCACUUGUUGCUAAACAGUUCAUAUUCACAUACCUUCCCAUUGGUGCAAUUCAGUCAAAACCUUCUCUUUUGCAAUCUCAGAUCAGGUAGGAUUACCCGCUUAACUUAAGCAUAUCAGUCAGCGGAGGAAAAGAAACCAACAGGGAUUCCCCUAGUAACGGCGAGUGAAGCGGGAAUAGCUCAGGCUGAAAAUCAAGUGUGCAUGUAUGUAUGUCUUGACGUGUGGUCUGACGAGGCAUGCCCGGCAGCAGUGCAGACUCAAGUCCUCUGGAAAGGGGCACCGUGGAGGGUGACAGUCCCGUUCGCAGUCUGUGAUUUGCAGCCAUGAGGGCAGUCUUCAGAGAGUCGGGUUGCUUGGGAGUGCAGCCCAAAUAGGGUGGUAUACGCCAUCCAAGGCUAAAUAUCAGCGAGAGACCGAUAGCGAACAAGUACUGUGAAGGAAAGUUGAAAAGCACUCUGGAGAGAGAGUCAAACGAGCACGUGAAAUUGCUGGCAGGGAAGCGCUGGGCGUCAGUGCGCAUAUGCAAGGGAACAGGUUUAGGGCGGUGGUCUGUGGUUGUGUACGAUGUGCAUGAUUAUGGUGCUGCUGGCUUGAACUGCAUGCCCUUGUAUGUGGGUCAGCAUCGGUUGUACGAGCUGCAUAACGGUUUGGCAUACAAUGCUUCGGUGUUGUGGGCCAGGUGCAGCGCAGUUUGUGCGACCGUGGAAAACAGGACGAUCCUCUUUGGAGGGUAGAUGCACAAUUGUAGCUGAUAGGCUGCUACGAAGCAACAGCGUGCUGGUGUUUUAGAGAAAGUUUGUUACUUGCAAUUGUCAUCAGCGUCCUACAGAUGCUGGCGAAAUGGCGUCCAUCGACC
This 1337-nucleotide ribosomal RNA is filed under the name uncultured fungus. RNAcentral's name for it is "eukaryotic LSU rRNA". The stretch from base 553 to 1337 matches the Rfam family "Eukaryotic large subunit ribosomal RNA", at positions 1 to 649 of the family's 3401-position model. The record is from RNAcentral. Lineage: Eukaryota; Fungi.